Nicotiana tabacum (common tobacco) is the source of this 534-nucleotide long non-coding RNA. RefSeq lists it as uncharacterized. Lineage: Eukaryota; Viridiplantae; Streptophyta; Magnoliopsida; Solanales; Solanaceae. The record is from RefSeq and is a predicted model, not a curated record.
GUACAAUCAGCUCACUAUCGGCGGAAAUUACAAGGAGAUCGUUUAUCUCCUCCAGUCAUCUUCACCACUUCUUCCAGCAAAAUAGCUCCUCCAGUCCAAAUCACCUUGAAAUCAGAUAAAAAAUCAGCGAAAAUCAGUCAAAAAGACCUCAAAACAAUCACCUCUCUGCAGUAAUUCGUUUUCCUUCUAAACUUCCCAUUAUUUGUUUAUGUUUAUUUACUGGAAAAGGCCUCCAACUCCAAUUCGGUCGUCUUCUUUGGCGAGUUGAGGCCGCGCUCGGCUGCUGCUCUUCUUAAUCUCCUUCUCCGGCGUACUCGGUUGAGAAAUCGAGUGUGCUCAACUUCAUUCUCAUUUGGCCGUGGACUUGUUUCUCAGCUCUCUUUCUCUUUCUCCGGCGAAAUCGAGUAAGCCAGGUAUUGGAGAUAUCGGACUCGGACAGCGUUAAAGUGUGAUCGCAAGGAUUCAAGGUAGAGCUGCUUGGUCAUCGCAGUCCCCUGGAGUCUUUCCAUUUUAUUGUACUGUUAAUUAUUAAUC